AACAUACCUCAUUAAAAAAAACUAAUAAAUAUUAUAAUUAUAAAUGUGGUGUUAAACCUAUAUAAGACCAUUGAAAUACGUUCACAAUAACAAUCACCUGUAAGUCUCUUUAUUGUUUGUUACGUAUAUAAAGAAAACAAAACCAUCAGCCAUGAAACUGUUACUGUUUUUUUCAGCCAUUCUCUCAAUCGUUGCUUGGGCAAGUGCAAAAUCACAACUCUUCUGUGAAGCAGCGUGCGCAAGUGACAACCAUCCCGUCUGUGGUACUGACGGAAAGACAUAUACCAACAAAUGCUUCUGCGAGUGUCGCGGUGCGAAGGUUGCCCACAAUGGCGCUUGUUAAUAACCUGAACAUGGAUAAUUCAUCUAUUGAGAACUUUGAAGCAAAUUUAAUAUAAUAUGAUCAUAAUAUUUUUAUAAUGUUAUUCAAAACAAAUUAAAGCAAUAAUUCAUUUUAAA
This is a long non-coding RNA of Leptidea sinapis, 459 nucleotides long. RefSeq lists it as uncharacterized. NCBI's taxonomy places the organism in Eukaryota, Metazoa, Arthropoda, Insecta, Lepidoptera, Pieridae. The record is from RefSeq and is a predicted model, not a curated record. The transcript has 3 exons.